Physeter macrocephalus (sperm whale) is the source of this 392-nucleotide long non-coding RNA. RefSeq lists it as uncharacterized. The transcript has 3 exons. The record is from RefSeq and is a predicted model, not a curated record. Lineage: Eukaryota; Metazoa; Chordata; Mammalia; Artiodactyla; Physeteridae.
UGCUUCAGGAACUGUAUUGGCAGUCAGGACCCCUACUGCGGCUGGGCCCCGGAUGGUUCCUGCAUCUUCCUCAGCCCCGGCACCAGAGCCACCUUUGAGCAGGACGUGUCCGGGGCCAGCACCUCAGGCUUAGGGGACUGCACAGGACUGCUGCGGGCCAGCCUCUCGGAGGAGCGCGCCGGCUUGGUGUCGGUGAACCUGCUGGUGACGUCGUCGGUGGCGGCCUUCGUGGUGGGCGCCGUGGUGUCCGGCUUCAGCGUGGGCUGGUACGUGGGGCUCCGGGAGCGGCGCGAGCUGGCCCGCCGCAAGGACAAGGAGGCCAUCCUGGCGCACGGGGGCGGCGAGGCCGUGCUGAGCGUGAGCCGCCUGGGCGAGCGCCGGGCGGGCGGCCC